Molecule: ribosomal RNA, 1372 nt
Filed under: uncultured bacterium
Lineage: Bacteria
Description: bacterial SSU rRNA
Rfam family: Bacterial small subunit ribosomal RNA
Source: RNAcentral
GAUGAACGCUGGCGGCGUGCCUAAUACAUGCAAGUCGAGCGAACGGACGAGAAGCUUGCUUCUCUGAUGUUAGCGGCGGACGGGUGAGUAACACGUGGAUAACCUACCUAUAAGACUGGGAUAACUUCGGGAAACCGGAGCUAAUACCGGAUAAUAUUUUGAACCGCAUGGUUCAAAAGUGAAAGACGGUCUUGCUGUCACUUAUAGAUGGAUCCGCGCUGCAUUAGCUAGUUGGUAAGGUAACGGCUUACCAAGGCAACGAUGCAUAGCCGACCUGAGAGGGUGAUCGGCCACACUGGAACUGAGACACGGUCCAGACUCCUACGGGAGGCAGCAGUAGGGAAUCUUCCGCAAUGGGCGAAAGCCUGACGGAGCAACGCCGCGUGAGUGAUGAAGGUCUUCGGAUCGUAAAACUCUGUUAUUAGGGAAGAACAUAUGUGUAAGUAACUGUGCACAUCUUGACGGUACCUAAUCAGAAAGCCACGGCUAACUACGUGCCAGCAGCCGCGGUAAUACGUAGGUGGCAAGCGUUAUCCGGAAUUAUUGGGCGUAAAGCGCGCGUAGGCGGUUUUUUAAGUCUGAUGUGAAAGCCCACGGCUCAACCGUGGAGGGUCAUUGGAAACUGGAAAACUUGAGUGCAGAAGAGGAAAGUGGAAUUCCAUGUGUAGCGGUGAAAUGCGCAGAGAUAUGGAGGAACACCAGUGGCGAAGGCGACUUUCUGGUCUGUAACUGACGCUGAUGUGCGAAAGCGUGGGGAUCAAACAGGAUUAGAUACCUUGGUAGUCCACGCCGUAAACGAUGAGUGCUAAGUGUUAGGGGGUUUCCGCCCCUUAGUGCUGCAGCUAACGCAUUAAGCACUCCGCCUGGGGAGUACGACCGCAAGGUUGAAACUCAAAGGAAUUGACGGGGACCCGCACAAGCGGUGGAGCAUGUGGUUUAAUUCGAAGCAACGCGAAGAACCUUACCAAAUCUUGACAUCCUUUGACAACUCUAGAGAUAGAGCUUUCCCCUUCGGGGGACAAAGUGACAGGUGGUGCAUGGUUGUCGUCAGCUCGUGUCGUGAGAUGUUGGGUUAAGUCCCGCAACGAGCGCAACCCUUAAGCUUAGUUGCCAUCAUUAAGUUGGGCACUCUAAGUUGACUGCCGGUGACAAACCGGAGGAAGGUGGGGAUGACGUCAAAUCAUCAUGCCCCUUAUGAUUUGGGCUACACACGUGCUACAAUGGACAAUACAAAGGGCAGCGAAACCGCGAGGUCAAGCAAAUCCCAUAAAGUUGUUCUCAGUUCGGAUUGUAGCCUGCAACUCGACUACAUGAAGCUGGAAUCGCUAGUAAUCGUAGAUCAGCAUGCUACGGUGAAUACGUUCCCGGGUCU